Long non-coding RNA from Ornithodoros turicata, 1315 nucleotides. RefSeq lists it as uncharacterized. The transcript is spliced from 2 exons. The record is from RefSeq and is a predicted model, not a curated record. Lineage: Eukaryota; Metazoa; Arthropoda; Arachnida; Ixodida; Argasidae.
AACUGUGUAGCCCUGAGACAAUAGGAUGCCGUCACGACCAAUGAGACUGGCCUGCAGGGGGCGCAAGGAUUCACUUCUCUCUUGGACACUGGCGGGUGUAGACACGGUAAUUAUGAUCCUGGCGUUGGCCGUCAGUGGAAGAGCGUAGCUUAGGUGGGGUUCUGUCUGCCUCUGAUGGGGUGUGGAUGUAUGGUUCGUCACUGGUGAAUGGUGUUCGACGAUGCAGGAGGAUUUUGUGACGAGCGGAUUUACAAUGAGGGAAUGCUGUGAACGGGAAAAAUGAUGGUGAGUGCCUUUUUCACUCUGUUCAAGUGUUCGUUUUCCUCUGUUGCCCAACAGUCGUGCGAAUUUGUCCUGACGUGUCCUGACAUGCCCCGAUAUGCAUGCUUUCCUUUGUUAACGCUUUGUAUUUUGUCUUUUUUUGACAAGGAACAUUGUCGCCUUGACGAUAGUGCUGCCCUGAGUUCUGCGCGCGUUGAUUUGUUGAGUGCCUAGUCCUCUUAUUAGCCGUUGAUGGAGUUACAUGUUAGGAUGUUUUGUUCUUUUGGAAGUCUCAUUUAGUAAGACUUUGGAAUUCCUACGAUCAGUUUUCAUGCAUGGUGCUCUUCUGCAAUAGUUUCCUAUGCAAUCGUUAUAGAAGAAUAAAGGAAAUAAUCUUGGGAUAGUGAUUCAAUAAAUAAUAGGUCCCCUGUCUACAGCGCACGCGUCCUUGAGCCACGCAGGUGCAUGAUGACGUCAUACCGUGGCUUCACUGCAGAUUGACCAAAGGAGCAUUAGUGGAAAAAACAGUGUAGCCCUGAGACAAUAGGAUGAUGUCUGGACCAAUGAGAACGGCCAGCAGGGGGCGCAGGAAUGCUCUUCUCACUUAGCCUCACGACCAAUGAGCAACGAGAGAAGAGGGCGCAGGAAUGCUCUUCUCUCUUAGCCUCUCGCAGGUGGCGGUAGGAGCGCGCAGAGGGCGCUACGAGCGCGCGCAUGCGUAGCACCCGUAGAGUGGCGCUUACGUCAGUCCACCUCUGGCUCUCGUUGGGAGAAGACGUGCGGUCGUUCGCUCCGUCGUCACUUGAUCCCUGGCUGUCGACGAGAGCAGUCGCAUCGGUCUGCGCUCCUACUGUGAGCUGUCCUAACUUGCCCAGACAUGCCGUGAUGACGUCACAGCUGACGUCACAGGAUGUCCGGAACUGGUGGUCAUAGCUGCGAUGCUUUGCAACCUGCCUCUGUGCUCCGUCGCCCAGCGACGGUCAGCGGCCUUUCCGGACCGCUUUCUUCAAGAUGGCGCCGUUGAUCUUCAAUUAAACUCCUUCUCUCCACUCUA